ACACGACUACAUUAGAUACCCCCUGUAGUCCUAGCCGUAAACGAUACUCGCUAGGUGUCGGCCACGGUGCGACCGUUGUCGGUGCCGUAGGGAAGCCGUGAGGCGAGCCACCUGGGAAGUACGGCCGCAAGGCUGAAACUUAAAGGAAUUGGCGGGGAGCACCACAACGGGUGGAGCCUGCGGUUUAAUUGGACUCAACGCCGGGAAGCUCACCGGAUAAGACAGCGGAAUGAUUGCCGGGCUGAAGACCCUGCAUGACCAGCUG
Molecule: ribosomal RNA, 265 nt
Filed under: uncultured archaeon
Lineage: Archaea
Description: partial 16S ribosomal RNA
Rfam family: Archaeal small subunit ribosomal RNA
Source: RNAcentral